UAACCACUCAAGCCUCGGCUUGGUCUUGGGGUUCCGCGGUCUCGCGGCCCUUAAAAUCAGUGGCGGUGCCAUCUGGCUCUAAGCGUAGUAAUUUCUCUCGCUAUAGAGUCCCGGUGGUCUCCUGCCAGAACCCCCCCAUUUUUUAC
Molecule: unclassified non-coding RNA, 146 nt
Filed under: uncultured Meliniomyces
Lineage: Eukaryota; Fungi; Ascomycota; Leotiomycetes; Helotiales; Helotiaceae
Description: sequence contains ITS2
Source: RNAcentral